RNAcentral lists this ribosomal RNA (253 nucleotides) under uncultured bacterium. RNAcentral describes it as "partial 16S ribosomal RNA". It matches the Rfam family "Bacterial small subunit ribosomal RNA", at positions 524 to 776 of the family's 1533-position model. The record is from RNAcentral.
UACGUAGGGUGCGAGCGUUGUCCGGAAUUACUGGGCGUAAAGAGCUCGUAGGUGGUUUGUCGCGUUGUCCGUGAAAACUCACAGCUCAACUGUGGGCGUGCGGGCGAUACGGGCAGACUGGAGUACUGCAGGGGAGACUGGAAUUCCUGGUGUAGCGGUGAAAUGCGCAGAUAUCAGGAGGAACACCGAUGGCGAAGGCAGGUCUCUGGGCCGAUACUGACGCUGAGGAGCGAAAGCGUGGGGAGCGAACAGG